UACGUAGGUGGCAAGCGUUGUCCGGAAUUAUUGGGCGUAAAGCGCGCGCAGGCGGUCCUUUAAGUCUGAUGUGAAAGCCCACGGCUCAACCGUGGAGGGUCAUUGGAAACUGGGGGACUUGAGUGCAGGGGAGAACGGAAUUCCUGGUGUAGCGGUGAAAUGCGCAGAUAUCAGGAGGAACACCGGUGGCGAAGGCGACUAUCUGGGCUGCAACUGACGCUGAGGCGCGAAGGCUAGGGUAGCAAACAGG
This 250-nucleotide ribosomal RNA is filed under the name uncultured bacterium. RNAcentral's name for it is "partial 16S ribosomal RNA". It matches the Rfam family "Bacterial small subunit ribosomal RNA", at positions 524 to 776 of the family's 1533-position model. The record is from RNAcentral.